GCAAGUCGAGGGGUAACAGGAAAGCUUGCUUUCGCUGACGACCGGCGCACGGGUGCGUAACGCGUAUGCAACCUACCUCAUACUGGAGGAUAGCCCCUGGAAACGGGGAUUAAUACUCCAUAGUAUCACGAAUUCGCAUGUUUUUGUGAUUAAAGUUUUUCGGUAUGAGAUGGGCAUGCGUCCCAUUAGCUUGUUGGUGAGGUAACGGCUCACCAAGGCGACGAUAGAUAGGGGUUCUGAGAGGGGGAUC
RNAcentral lists this ribosomal RNA (250 nucleotides) under uncultured bacterium. Its description in RNAcentral is "partial 16S ribosomal RNA". It matches the Rfam family "Bacterial small subunit ribosomal RNA", at positions 57 to 305 of the family's 1533-position model. The record is from RNAcentral.